UUGUUGGUAAGGUAAAAGCUUACCAAGGCUUCGAUCAGUAGCUGGUCUGAGAGGACGACCAGCCACACUGGGACUGAGACACGGCCCAGACUCCUACGGGAGGCAGCAGUGGGGAAUUUUGGACAAUGGGGGCAACCCUGAUCCAGCCAUGCCGCGUGAGUGAAGAAGGCCUUCGGGUUGUAAAGCUCUUUCAGCCGGAACGAAACGGUUACGGAUAACACCCGUGACUACUGACGGUACCGGAAGAAGAAGCACCGGCUAACUACGUGCCAGCAGCCGCGGUAAUACGUAGGGUGCGAGCGUUAAUCGGAAUUACUGGGCGUAAAGCGUGCGCAGGUGGUUUUGUAAGUCAGAUGCGAAAGCCCCGGGCUCAACCUGGGAACUGCGUUUGAAACUACAAGACUAGAGUGUGGCAGAGGGGGGUGGAAUUCCGCGUGUAGCAGUGAAAUGCGUAGAGAUGUGGAGGAACACCGAUGGCGAAGGCAGCCCCCUGGGUCAACACUGACGCUCAGGCACGAAAGCAUGGGGAGCAAACAGGAUUAGAUACCCUGGUAGUCCAUGCCCUAAACGAUGUCAACUAGUUGUCGGGCCUUUACGGGCUUGGUAACGUAGCUAACGCGUGAAGUUGACCGCCUGGGGAGUACGAUCGCAAGAUUAAAACUCAAAUGAAUUGACGGGGACCCGCACAAGCGGUGGAUUAUGUGGAUUAAUUCGAUGCAACGCGAAAAACCUUACCUACCCUUGACAUGUAUCGAAGCCCGCAGAAAAGCGGGGGUGCCCGAAAGGGAACGAUAACACAGGUGCUGCAUGGCUGUCGUCAGCUCGUGUCGUGAGAUGUUGGGUUAAGUCCCGCAACGAGCGCAACCCUUGUCAUUAAUUGCCAUCAUUUAGUUGGGCACUUUAAUGAGACUGCCGG
RNAcentral lists this ribosomal RNA (916 nucleotides) under uncultured bacterium. RNAcentral's name for it is "bacterial SSU rRNA". It matches the Rfam family "Bacterial small subunit ribosomal RNA", at positions 246 to 1155 of the family's 1533-position model. The record is from RNAcentral.